RNAcentral lists this long non-coding RNA (532 nucleotides) under Brachypodium distachyon (stiff brome). Its description in RNAcentral is "long non-coding RNA (BDIS_LNC000588)". Lineage: Eukaryota; Viridiplantae; Streptophyta; Magnoliopsida; Poales; Poaceae. The record is from RNAcentral.
ACGUAGCCAACGUCGAUGGCGAUGCAUGCCCAAAAGAGUCUGCACUUGGCAGCUAACGUAACACUUGUUCACAUUGCACUAGCUGGAAUAUCCUAGACUUGGAUUCCUCCUUCCUAACGCAAGCUAGAUUGUGAUGCGGGUAAAAAGCCGUAGAGGCACGGUUGUUCAUUAUGUUGCAACCAGCAUUAUCUCCAAUUAAAUUCAAAGUCGUGCCAACGGAAGGAGUAGUACCAACUUAUAGUAGUUGCAUUGCAAAGCUCUUUUUCUUUUCUUUUCUUUUCUUUUCAGGCUUGCGUCAGCUCAUUCCCUGCACAUCCAUCCAUCGACGCAAAGAACAUUAUGGUAUUUGAGACGCUCACCCCAGGAUCCCCACUUCCCAAAAGGGAACGAGCGGGUGCGCUUAGCAUCAUGGCAUUCGAAACAAACGGUCCACCAGGCCAGGCGUCCUUGGUGCUUAUCCACUCCAAGAUCUUCCGAACGAGGACCCCUCUCUCUGAUUGGAGAGAACAUGGCCGGCCGCACCGACCCAGCA